GGGCAUCGAGUGCAACUCCAACCCAUGUGACAUACUCGUGUUGCCUCGGCGGCGAGCUACCCGGAAGCCUCCUACCCUGGAGUUGCCUACCCGGGAGUUACCCGGCAGCUCCUACCCUGGAGCUACCCUGUAGCGCUGGCGGACCGCCGGAGGACCACCUAACUCUGUUUUUCUGUGUGGCACCUCUGAGUACAUACAUCUAAAUAAGUUAAAACUUUCAACAACGGAUCUCUUGGUUCUGGCAUCGAUGAAGAACGCAGCGAAAUGCGAUAAGUAAUGUGAAUUGCAGAAUUCAGUGAAUCAUCGAAUCUUUGAACGCACAUUGCGCCCAUUAGUAUUCUAGUGGGCAUGCCUGUUCGAGCGUCAUUACGACCCUUAAGCCUCGUCGCUUAGCGUUGGGAGCAUUACCGUCAGGUAACUCCUCAAAGUCAGUGGCAGAGUUGCGGUACACUCUAGGCGUAGUAGAUUUAUUUCUCGCCUCUGUGGUGGCCGUGGCUGUCGCCAUGAAACCUCUAUUUUUCUAGUGGUUGACCUCGGAUCAGGUAGGAAUACCCGCUGAACUUAAGCAUAUCAAUAAGCGGAGGAA
This 586-nucleotide ribosomal RNA is filed under the name Xylariaceae sp. SCSGAF0086. Its description in RNAcentral is "eukaryotic LSU rRNA". The stretch from base 213 to 366 matches the Rfam family "5.8S ribosomal RNA". The record is from RNAcentral. Lineage: Eukaryota; Fungi; Ascomycota; Sordariomycetes; Xylariales; Xylariaceae.